Molecule: long non-coding RNA, 7228 nt
Filed under: Zea mays
Lineage: Eukaryota; Viridiplantae; Streptophyta; Magnoliopsida; Poales; Poaceae
Description: long non-coding RNA (ZMAY_LNC005196)
Source: RNAcentral
GGGCAACAGAGUAUAAACAUAUAUCAUGACUAAAACAUACUAAGUAUUAUUAAUCGGCUAGCAAGGAAAGAUAAACAUACGACCUGAACUGAAUUGACCAGUGCGCACGACCAUAUAAAAAAAAUAAACAAACUUCCUUUGACAAUAAGUUUCUAAUUAAAUCAUGGCUACGCCUGGGCAGCGUUAUUGUGAGAGUGAAAGUGGACGUGCUGCUACUCCCUUCAUUCCCAACAUGUAUCAAGUACCUGCAUUGAGUAAUGCAAGAGUGAGAUGACACAUCUCAACAAGUAAAAUAAUAUCAAACAGUUUAACCACAUAAGAACAUUGUUUUACCACCACUUGAUUCCACAACCUUCUUAUUACGAAGGUGCAGCACGUAUACAACGUACAACACACCUAGUUACCACACCUCGCAGGUAGAAACCACAAUAGUAACAUAGUAAUGUCACACUUCAUAUAUUCCUCAUGAGUGCAAAUGUAUGCAAAUGCAAGGAUGACUUCUGCCUUCAUACCUCUAAGGAUAUGAAGCCGCAUCGUACCCCUCCUUGGGCAACGUAUGAUGCUAAAAAUGUACCGGUACGGUCGGACCAUAAGAUCACGACAUAACUUCAAAAUGCAAGAUGGAUGAUGCGAUGUGCAUGUCAUGCCUACAACACUUCAUAUAACAUGAUUCAAAAAGACACUUCAACUUCAUCCAGAUGGGAAUCAACCACAUAUAUCAUUACCAAAUUAUGAUCAUCCACAAUAUUAGACAAUUGAGAAUUAAUACUUCCAAACAAAUAAACUUCAUCAUAGAAUUUAAUGAUUAACAUAAUUAAAACUUAUGAAUACUCAAUGACAGGGAAUAGGAUGCAAACCAAACGGUAGCAACCACCACUGUAUUUACUUGCCUUUACCGGAAGUUCGGGCAAAUCCCUACGUACGAUCCGGAAGUCCACCACCUGUUUUUGACACCCAACUUAGCACACCAAGUUCACAUAAUCAGGCUCAUAAGCGACGCCGCACCUACGCACCAACUCAAACCCCGCCGCGGGUUACAUCUCUCCCUACACCCACCAAACUGCAGCGGCGCUGCUUAAUAAUUUCAUAACUUUAAAAUUAUGAUGGCAGUGGUAACAAACAAAAACUCCAGAGGCAUCUACAUAAAAUUCCCCACAAGUUUUGUAUACAAUUUAUAAUUAAAUUCCAAUGUCUAAUUAGCCCAAAACAGUCCACAAGAUGAACCCUGUAAUCUGUUUUUCUUUGUCUUUUGGACAGCGACAUACCCGGAUUCAAACAGCGAUAUCUUUUAAAAUAUAAUUCCAAAUCAAGCGCAUAAGUACUCAUUGGAAAUAUAAGACAAAUCCCUACAUGAUUAUCAUACUGGUUAACACUAAUUACCCACGAAAAAUUCCCAGAAACUGCUAAUACCACUGCUGUUCACCCACCUGAAAAAUCUGUUUUUUGGACAGCAACAUAACCGGAUUCAAACAACGAUAUCUCCUAAAUUAUAACUCCGAAUCGAGCGCAUAAAUACUCGUUGGAAAGGUAUGCCAAAGUUCUACAUGAUUCCCAAACUGAUUCCCCUUAAUUCUCCACGAAAAAUGCCCAGAAAUAACUAAUUCUGCUGCUGUUCGUCCACCCCCUUAAAGUUCUGGACAGCCCUUCUACCAAAUCGCACACGCAACAUCUAAACAAUUGGAUUGCCGCAUAAAAUGAACAAGAGAUAAACACAAGAAUCACCUUGGGUUCUCCCUCUUUUCUUCCUCCCUUCCUCCCUCCACCGAAAACCGUUGAAGAUUUGCAUCACGCAACGGAGAUCCGAGCGGCAACGAAUGGCACCAUGGGAGGAGGAGAUGGGGGGGGGGGCGGCUAGGGUUUGAUGUUUUGCUGCAAGUGCUUGAGAAAGGAGGAGAUGGGAGGGGGGGGCGGCCAAGAGGGUAGGGGAAUGGGGGGGGGCGGCUGCACAAAGAGGGGGGGUUAGGGGAAGGGCGGCUAGGGUUAUGGGGGUUAGUGGGCCGAAACAAGAUUUGCGGCCCAACACGCCCACGUGACGGCUCCCGACCCCGAUGCAAGCGCCUAACCAAAGAAAUUCUACUGCCCUACUGGUGAAUGUUUUUCCUCAAAUUCCAAAUUCCCAAAACGCAACCACCGAAAGAGAGAAAAAAAAACAAAAAGAAUACCCUCCAACUUCUCUUCUUUGCAAACCGGGUGUCACACUCUACCCCCCUUAAAAAGAAUUCGACCUCGAAUUCCGACGCUUCUAUCAGAACAACAAAAGAAAGAUUAAUGAAUCAACAAAACUCACACAUAAAGAAAAGUUCGAGUACUUCUGCCGCAUCAGCUCCUCAAGCUCCUAGGAUUCUAAGAUACGCAGCAGACGACACUCUAGAGUCUGCUCUUGCUACACAGGAAUCAGCUCUAGCUCGAUUUGAUGGUCUGGAUUCCGCAAAUACUUCCUCAACAAAAAGACAUGGAAUACUUGGUGUACUCUGAUCACAUAUUCCGACAAUUACAUGUGCUAAGCCCAGCUGCCAACUCGGCCAAGAUAGUAGACGGUCCUAUAUACCUCGGACCAAGCUUUCCUGACACCAAAUCAAUCAUUGACAUAUGCAAGUACUUCAAGGAAUGUAUAUAUGAAUGCAAGGCAUAUAAGGUUCCUAUAGCCUAAACCAAACUUAGCCAAAUAAGAGCAACUUCAAGAGAGCAACUUAAUGCUUGCAUAUUUCUAGAUAGCAUCACCGCGGUUAAUUGUUUUGCUCCUAACUCACAAAAUAUGCAUCGAAAAUUAGUAAACUAGGACUUUAUGGAAAACUUAUAAAGUCCACUAUACUCUUGGUAUUAUCAUCACAACGAGAUUUGACACUUAGAAAGGUCAAACAAUGCUAAACGUAAAUUCUGUCCAGACUUGGACAUAAUUCAACUACUCAAUUCAAAAUCCAUAAUUGGAGUCUCAAUCAUCCAAUUCAGGUGCUCCCAGACUUUUUAGAAAGCUAGUAGAAUUGUCUAUAAUUCAUUUAUAAACAUAUCAAGUUAAUUCAAUGCAUAUUAAGGUCAAAAGACACGAGAAAGGCUCUGCUGUCCAAAUUUGGACAGAUUCAGAGAUCACACUUAAAACAGCUGUAACUUAACUUAUCGAUCUCCAAAAAAAGUAAUCCAAAAUUUGUUGAAACGAUUAAGAAAAGUACUACAAUUUCUUUAUAAUUUAUAAUAAGUUAUUCGAAGCUUAAAUUGGGCAAACAAGGUCAGCUUCGAAAUCUGUACAGAAUCUGCACAGAUUUCAAGACUGGACUUGAGAAAAUCAUAACUCCCAAACUACUAGACCUAUGGUCAUGAAAUUUUUACACAAGUAAGAUAAAGAAGUUGGCUACAACUUUUAUAUAUAACAUCUCUACAGAAAAGAUGGUUUACUUCAUUGAACUAGCUGCAUACUAAAACUGGUCAUGCAGUCCCAAUAGCAAGCAAUAGAUUUUUUUCAGGUUCAUUACUCUUCUAAGAUUAAGCGUUCAUCGAAAGACUAAUAACUUUAGGUUCUUCAUUACGAGACACCUAGAACAAAUAUAAGUAUAGAAGCAAUAUGAUAACUUUUUAAAUCAUUUAAGCCUAAUCUCACCUCAUGCAAACAAGAAUCAAUUUAAGCAUGUUAUGUCUGCCCACAUAUUCAUCCAAGCACAUUCUAUACAUGAUAUCAUAACUCCCUGUAGCUAACAAAAUUUUGCAAAUAUAAACUCCUUGAAAAGAUUAUAACAUUCCAUAGAACUUUUAUUAUAAUGAGUGUCUCGGAAUUGGUUUCCAAACCGAUAAAACAAUGCAACUCUUUUGUUUCAAAACAGAUAAUAUUGAAACAAUGGACAACUAAAAUUCAAAAACCUAUAACUCCUGCUAUACUCAACUUAAACUACAACGAACACGCGUUGGAAAAGUUUUGAAAAUUGUCCACGACUUUUGCAAUAAAGUUGCACCUAAAUUUAUCCUUAUAGCCCUCAACUCUGCAUGACCUACAGCUAAACUCAGCCUGAGAUACUGCACAUUAGAGAUUCGACUUAUAUCCGGGCAACCACCUCUCCAAAUCUAUUUAACAGACAGUUACAAGUAAAUACCCAUUAAAAAGGUACUGAAAAGACCUACAAGUUUUGCUUAAAGAGAAUUCGCAAAUUUGUGCUCUGCAACUAUCAAAACGUGGUCGAUUUAUUGGUGAUUAUAAUGACGCCUAAAGUUCAGACACAACAGUGCAACAACUUCAGAGCAACCUAACUCCAACUAUAUGCAAUGAGAAUUAGAAACCCAUACUCUUUGAAAAGAUCAUGAAAUUAAUAAAACUUUCAUAAUCCCACAAAACCCAAAAUUUACCGUAUUCAAUGUCUAUACUUCCGUACAAAAUUAAGGCUGCUAUAGGAAACCCAUAACUCUCAAAUGUUUAGACCAAACUGGGUGAUUGAGCAUCCGAUGCAAAGAUGAAGAAACCUACUACAAAACAUUCUAGAUAAGUGAAGCCUGAUUCAGCCUCCAACUAAUUUAAAAUGACUCCCAAAACAAAACAACACCUUACCCAUAAUAAAAAAACAAUAUAAAAUAAAACCCAAGGCAUUGGCAGGUGCAAUCAACACUAGGAUUUUCCACUACCAAAUGGGGAUGCAACUCCCCAAAGCCUUUAAGCAACACUUCACCUAAUAGGUUAGAACACUAAGCACAUCAAUCAACGAAUUCAACAACCUCAUUUGUUAAUGCCACUAAGGUCAAACAUCCAUGUAUCGACAAGGUAUGAAACACCUAACAUACCCGUCUCUAGCACUAUAAAACAUGGUUGUUAUUACACUAGAAUCCAACUAUUAGAGCUCCCCACAACUAUUCUGUUGACGUGAAGCAAAUGGUGCUCAUGUCAUGUAACGUCUUUUCCUCCUCUCAAAAGAGAUAAAAUUUGCAAUACUCAUAAAGCAAUGGAGGGAUAACAACAAGAAAGAACUAAUGUACUUCUUGACACAGACUCAUGCAAAAGCUUCAUAAAUAUUACUUUCAAUACUAAAAUAAUAACACGAUACUAUGCUCAACAGGAGUAAUUGGACGUCAAUAAGACAAUCCACAUAACCAAACUACCUUGAUUAACCUCACAUACAACAAAACCUACUAUUACUGCACUUGAACAAUUUGUACCUCGUGAUAUCACAAGAUGCAUUCAAAGUAGUAGACAUACAUGAUCUAUCAGACCAUCAUUCAUAUAAGAAAAUUUUCAAUCCGAUGCAACAACACCAUCACUAAAGAGAUAGAUGACUAACAAACAUAAGCAACUCCCAGUUAAGCAUUGACUUUGUUUAAGAUAAAGCGGUCCAAAUAAUGAUUCAACAAGCAUGCAUAGAGAAACUGCUCAUAAAAAAAAUCAAACUGCCAUACAAUGUUGGCAAAUAAAAAAAAUAUAAAACGGGUUGUCAAUAUCGCCCACAUGACUAGCCUGCAACAACUAAAAAUUAUGCAUAGCCUUAUGGCUAUUGAAACAAGCCAUAGAAGGAAAACAUGUAUGACAUAAAAUCCACUUGAAACCACCCUAUUUAUUGUAAAAAAAUAAGGUUGCACAUAAUAAGAAAAUCUAUAAGGUAGACAUGGUUGGACUUAUCAAUCUACGUCAUCUCACAAAUUCACUAGAGUUCUACCAGUCUAAAGAUUUCGUAGACAUUACAACGUUGCCUCCGCUCUAUAGAGACAAACCAAUUUUAUACUAAGAUCAAGUUAGCAAGUAGCCACACUAGCCUAAAAAAAAGUGAGGCGCAAAGCAUUGCACCCAUGGAAACAUUACAUUGAUAAGUUGGGUUGUAAGCCAACAGUCAAUCAAACUCAACAACACCAUAAAACUACAUUAUAUAGUGUUUUCACACUACACCAAGUCGGAUUAGACCCACUAUACACAAGCGCAAUAAACAAUCGGUCCUAUAAGUACAAGAACCCAAGAAUCCUUUUGGAAAAUAAAACAUCCACAGUCAAGCAUAUAGAAAUAUAUGAUGGUAAUAGCUCAGAGAUUUGAAAACAUUGCAUUCUAAAAAAAACAUCAUGACGAUAUGUAUAUAAAACAAGUACAUUAGUAGCUUCACUUGCAUAAUAUCUUCAAUAACAACCACAUCAAGAAACCAAUGUUAAAUAGAAGUAACAUGCUUCACUUGCAUAAUAUCCUCAAAUUGCGUAGAAUCUAAAGCCUAUGCUCUGAUACCAACUGUAACACCCCGAGGUCCACAAACACCCCGGAAUGCUACUAAACAACACUUCUGACAUCUAUAUAUAAAAUUUCGGCAGCAUCCCCCUUUGCAAAAUUGCAUGAAGGAGGGGACAACAGAGUAUAAACAUAUAUCAUGACUAAAACAUACUAAGUAUUAUUAAUCGGCUAGCAAGGAAAGAUAAACAUAUGACCUGAACUGAAUUGACCAGUGCGCACGACCAUAUAAAAAAAAUAAACAAACUUCCUUUGACAAUAAGUUUCUAAUUAAAUCAUGGCUACGCCUGGGCAGCGUUAUUGUGAGAGUGAAAGUGGACGUGCUGCUACUCCCCUCAUUCCCAACAUGUAUCAAGUACCUGCAUUGAGUAAUGCAAGAGUGAGAUGACACAUCUCAGCAAGUAAAAUAAUAUCAAACAGUUUAACCACAUAAGAACAUUGUUUUACCACCACUUGAUUCCACAACCUUCUUAUUACGAAGGUGCAGCACGUAUACAACGUACAACACACCUAGUUACCACACCUCGCAGGUAGAAACCACAAUAGUAACAUAGUAAUGUCACACUUCAUAUAUUCCUCAUGAGUGCAAAUGUCUGCAAAUGCAAGGAUGACUUCUGCCUUCAUACCUCUAAGGAUAUGAAGCCGCAUCGUACCCCUCCUUGGGCAACGUACGAUGCUAAAAAUGUACCGGUACGGUCGGACCAUAAGAUCACGACAUAACUUCAAAAUGCAAGAUGGAUGAUGCGAUGUGCAUGUCAUGCCUACAACACUUCAUAUAACAUGAUUCAAAAAGACACUUCAACUUCAUCCAGAUGGGAAUCAACCACAUAUAUCAUUACCAAAUUAUGAUCAUCCAUAAUAUUAGACAAUUGAGAAUUAAUACUUCCAAACAAAUAAACUUCAUCAUAGAAUUCAAUGAUUAACAUAAUUAAAACUUAUGAAUACUCAAUGACAGGGAAUAGGAUGCAAACCAAACGGUAGCAACCACCACUGUAUUUACUUGCCUUUACCGGAAGUUCGGGCAAAUCCCUACGUACGAUCCGGAAGUCCACC